Molecule: small RNA, 32 nt
Filed under: Bombyx mori (domestic silkworm)
Lineage: Eukaryota; Metazoa; Arthropoda; Insecta; Lepidoptera; Bombycidae
Description: ovarian small RNA-20864
Source: RNAcentral
UACCUCGGACCGGGCCGGAGCCCAGUCGGGAC